This 253-nucleotide ribosomal RNA is filed under the name uncultured bacterium. RNAcentral's name for it is "partial 16S ribosomal RNA". It matches the Rfam family "Bacterial small subunit ribosomal RNA", at positions 524 to 776 of the family's 1533-position model. The record is from RNAcentral.
UACGGAGGAUCCGAGCGUUAUCCGGAUUCACUGGGUUUAAAGGGUGCGCAGGCGGGCGAAUAAGUCAGUGGUGAAAACCUGCCGCUUAACGGUAGGCGUGCCAUUGAUACUGAUUGGCUUGAGUCCAGUUGAGGUAGGCGGAAUGUGUAGUGUAGCGGUGAAAUGCUUAGAUAUUAUACAGAACGCCGAUAGCGAAGGCAGCUCACUAAGCUAUAACUGACGCUGAAGCACGAAAGCGUGGGGAGCAAACAGG